GACGAACGCUGGCGGCGUGCUUAACACAUGCAAGUCGAACGGUGAUGCUCCAGCUUGCUGGAGUGGAUCAGUGGCGAACGGGUGAGUAACACGUGAGCAACCUGCCCCAGACUCUGGAAUAAGCGCUGGAAACGGCGUCUAAUACUGGAUACGAAACUGGCCCGCAUGGGCAUGGUUUGGAAAGUUUGUCGGUUUGGGAUGGGCUCGCGGCCUAUCAGCUUGUUGGUGAGGUAAUGGCUCACCAAGGCGACGACGGGUAGCCGGCCUGAGAGGGCGACCGGCCACACUGGGACUGAGACACGGCCCAGACUCCUACGGGAGGCAGCAGUGGGGAAUAUUGCACAAUGGGCGAAAGCCUGAUGCAGCGACGCCGCGUGAGGGAUGACGGCCUUCGGGUUGUAAACCUCUUUCAGCAGGGAAGAAGCGAAAGUGACGGUACCUGAAGAAGAAGCACCGGCUAACUACGUG
This 468-nucleotide ribosomal RNA is filed under the name uncultured bacterium. Its description in RNAcentral is "partial 16S ribosomal RNA". It matches the Rfam family "Bacterial small subunit ribosomal RNA", at positions 28 to 507 of the family's 1533-position model. The record is from RNAcentral.